RNAcentral lists this transfer RNA (45 nucleotides) under Rhodococcus rhodnii LMG 5362. It matches the Rfam family "tRNA", at positions 28 to 71 of the family's 71-position model. Rfam says of the family: Transfer RNA (tRNA) molecules are approximately 80 nucleotides in length. Lineage: Bacteria; Bacillati; Actinomycetota; Actinomycetes; Mycobacteriales; Nocardiaceae. The record is from Rfam by way of RNAcentral.
GGACUUAAAAUCCGCACAGUGUCGGUUCGAACCCGACUGGGGGCA